This 71-nucleotide transfer RNA is filed under the name Marmota monax (woodchuck). Its description in RNAcentral is "tRNA.Ala". Lineage: Eukaryota; Metazoa; Chordata; Mammalia; Rodentia; Sciuridae. The record is from RNAcentral.
GCGGUUGUGGCUCAGUGGUAGAGCGCUCACCUAGCAUGUGCAAGGGCCUGGAUUCGAUCCUCAGCACCACA